CUGGCACGAGCGUCCGGUUCAGGAGGUCACCAUUCCUCUGCUGAUCAUGGAUCACUCAGAGGAAAGUGAUUUUAAGCAUUUAUGGUUUAUAUUUAGAUAUAAUGUUAGCAUUCCCAGCAUGUGAAACAUUAGUCUAAGCGGUCUCUGGUGUUUGUUUUAAAGUAUAUUUGUGUAAAAGUAGCAUCGCCGUGUCUAUACGGGACGCAACAGCUUGAAGUGACAAAGCGGCCUGUAAAGAGCUCGGACUGUCAGAAAUAGAUCAGGAAUCCGUUUGCUGUUGGAGAUUUCGCAUUCAGUGUAGACACUAUCACUGAUUAUAAUCAACAGCUUCUACUGUCUUCAGUCGCGACGCGGCGCAGCUUUCAUAUGUGGACUUCUUAGAACUGAUCUGUGUUCAGGAGUUUGGUUUUCCUGAGUGCUGUAUCCUCCAGGUCAUCAUUCCUGUGGACAUAUGGGAAGGCUAAACUGGUCUGCAUCAUGCUAUUACUUUAGAGAGGCAAAGAAACGAGACGUAUGUUGUGACGGCACAAUUUGAACAAGGAAGUAGUGGACGACCAAAAGAAAUCGUUGGUGGUGAGUAUCUUGUCAGUUUGCUUGAAAUGAACUUAUCAGUCAGGUGUAUUGCAAGUCUUUUGGGGGAAUCUGAACGGACUGUACACAGACGACUGGCAGAGUUCGACCUAUCAGUGAGAUCACUGUACAGCUCACUAACAGACAAUGAGCUGGACAUAUUAGUGUCAAACAUUAAGUCCCGAAUGCCAAAUUCUGGAUACAGGAUGGUAAAGGGAGCUUUAAAAGCUGAAGGCCACAAGGUACAAUAUGAGCGAGUGAGGGCAUCGCUGCAUGGAGGAGACACACUAGGAGUUUUAUCCAGGAUGACCGAGCUGGGUUGUGUUGUCCGGAGGAGGGAUUCAGUCCCAGGACCUUGAUAAGGGUCAGAGGAGAACGUGGACAUUGCACGUUUAAUGUUCUCAGUUCGUGGCACAGGGAGAAGCAGUUUCAUUUCAGGAAAAAGUGUCCACAAUCAAAGAAUAGAAGGACUGUGGAGAGAUGUGUGGACUGCAGUGACCAGUGUGUACUAUGAUGUUCUACACUAUCUUGAGGAAGCCAACUACCUUCAUACUGCAGACCAAACACAUCUCUUCUGUUGCACUACACAUUCCUUCCAAGGCUACAAGAUGAUCUAAAUCUUUUCUGAGAUGGGUUGGAUAAUCACCCUUUACGAACAGAACACAACACGUCUCCAAACCAGCUCUGGGAAUUGGGUCAAAUUCAUUAUCCAGUUGAUGAUCCCCGAGAUGAAGAGGAACUGAACAUUGCUGAUAUUGAUUGGGAAAGCAGUGGAUUGACUCCUGAUGAAAGUGUUGGUGUUAAUGUUCUACUGUAGAAUGUCCUCUUACACCAGAGCAACUUGUGGCACUGAAGGACACAGUGGAUCCAAGAUCACAUCACAAUCCCACGGGGAUAGACAUUUACACGGCUGCAGUGCAGUUUUGCCAGUCACUUGAGUAAUGGAAACUGAUUUUUUCAAAACUGUUUCAUUAAUAAGUACAUAGCACUAUGGAGAGCUAAAUUGCUUCAAAACCUAUGUAGCUCUGUUGAAAACUAUUUCAUGGGGGCUUCCCCUUCUCAAAAAAUAAAACAGCAAUUCUACAUGA
Molecule: long non-coding RNA, 1658 nt
Organism: Cyprinus carpio (common carp)
Lineage: Eukaryota; Metazoa; Chordata; Actinopteri; Cypriniformes; Cyprinidae
Exons: 4
Source: RefSeq, a predicted model, not a curated record